This 368-nucleotide ribosomal RNA is filed under the name uncultured bacterium. RNAcentral's name for it is "bacterial SSU rRNA". It matches the Rfam family "Bacterial small subunit ribosomal RNA", at positions 29 to 400 of the family's 1533-position model. The record is from RNAcentral.
AUUGAACGCUGGCGGCAUGCCUUACACAUGCAAGUCGAGCGCGAAAAGGGGGGCAACCCCGAGUAGAGCGGCGGACGGGUGAGUAACGCAUCGGAACGUGCCCAGUAGUGGGGGACAACCUCGAGAAAUCGAGGCUAAUACCGCAUACGACCCACGGGUGAAAGCGGGGGACCGCAAGGCCUCGCGCUAUUGGAGCGGCCGAUGUCCGAUUAGCUAGUUGGCGGGGUAAGAGCCCACCAAGGCGACGAUCGGUAGCUGGUCUGAGAGGACGACCAGCCACACUGGGACUGAGACACGGCCCAGACUCCUACGGGAGGCAGCAGUAAGGAUAUUGCGCAAUGGGCGAAAGCCUGACGCAGCGACGCCGC